GCAUGCUGGGAAUCGUAGUCUUUUGUAUAGCCGAUAAUAGUAACAGUGUCAUUUGCUCGGAAUUUUACAGUUAGAUCUGGCAAAAUUUUCAGCCCUUAUAUCUCCCAGUUUUCUUUAUCGACUGCCUGAAAGUGAAACCAAAGGAUGGUGUGGACUUCACCAAAGAGGAGGAAGAAUUCCAAUCUCCAUUUUAACUCCCACACCCCAACAGCUAGCACAUUUAAUAAAUCAAGAUUCCCAGCAGCCUCCAGCAUGCUAAAGAUAAAACAUCCAGAAGAACUUGAGAUCAAAGUCAUGAAAUGCAGACAGACCUUCUAUGAG
Hyaena hyaena (striped hyena) is the source of this 321-nucleotide long non-coding RNA. RefSeq lists it as uncharacterized. The record is from RefSeq and is a predicted model, not a curated record. Lineage: Eukaryota; Metazoa; Chordata; Mammalia; Carnivora; Hyaenidae. The transcript has 2 exons.